ACUUCUAUUUCCUACACAACACAGCUGUUCGAUUAUCGACAUCUUCUUCUUUUAGAACACUUUGGGUUGAUAAAGAAACUUAAAAAUGAAGAUAGAGAGUUGUUGUUUUGCUAGAGCUAGACAAUUUUCUUCUCCUCAAACUUUCUCCUACUCUUUUUGCAUCUUCUUCACUGAAGCUUUUCAAGCAAGGUAAUUUCUUUCACAAUUUCUUAAUAUCAGUCUGGUUUUUCUCUUGCAAUGUGCAAUGUGCAUCAUUUUUUUUUUGAGUUUUUCUCUCUACAGUCCACAUUGACAUUACUUGCUAGAGUUAGCUCUGCUUUCCUAAUGCUGCAAUCCUAAAAUUGAGAGAUUUUGAUCGAAUGUGUUCUUUGUUGGUUUGUUUAAAUUGAACGUUUUUCUCUAGAUAUCACACAAACACUUGUGUUACUGGUUGUGCUCCUCCUUCAAAUUUCAAAUAUCCAUCUACUGUACAUUGUGGUUGGUAAGUUGUCCCUAAACUUUACUUUCUUUAUUCUUAUGAAGACUAGUAUCAGAUCAUUGGUUUUACUAGUAUUAUUCUAAUUCUUGUCAUUCACCUCUGCUAAAUUUUGUUGAAACAUAAAUAAAUUCUCAAGUAUUUUGACCCAAAUGCAUCUUAUUUUAUUAAAUUAAACCGAACUAAACUAUUUUCAAGGUAAUUUUUGAUAGUGAGAUGAUGAUAUUGGGCUAAUUAAAUGAAAUGUUGUGUUUCAUAAUACUGUUCGACAUUUUGUUCAUUCAAGUCUGUGUUCCAAAGGAGUUGGUGGGGGGUUAGAAAACUGAAGGAGAUGAAUGAAACAUUAUUAGGAAGCUGGCAUGGCUACAGAUAUAUGGAGAAGAAAACUAAGGACAUACUAUGGAAGCAGGUGAUUCAAGCAAAGUAUUGAAGCAACGAGUCGACAACUAUAAUUGGUUCACUAAGGAUGUAAAGCAGAGUUAUGCAGUAGAACAAAAACUUGUAGAAUAUAAAGUGUGGCUUUCAAUUUAGGGAAAGGAACCAGAAUCAAAUUUUGGGCAGAUAAGUGGUGUGGUGAAGUUACUUUAAGUGAGGCUUUCCCUGGGAUCUAUUUGAGGGCAAGAGAUAAGCAUGGGGGUGUAGCAGCAUCUGGAAUUCCACUACAGAAAAUCAUGGGUGGAACUUGAAGAUGAUAGACUGGUUAUAUGAAUGGGAAGUACAAGAAGUUGAAAUUUAAUGACAUGAGGAGGAGGAGGAUUCCAUGAGGUGGACUCUCUGUCUCUAUGUAAUACUGGGUCCUUUACAGUCUCAUCUUUUAUGGGAACAAGAAGUGUCAUAUAGAGUGAAGUUUUCUUCUGGUGUUUACAUACUGUGGAAUAGGAUACUAACAGUGGACAGGCUUCGACAUUUGGGAUCAAUUAUACAUUUAUACCAAACAGAUGUUAACGCAAGGAGGAAAAAGAAUCGUACAGUUCUCCAUCUCUUUUUGUCAUGCUUUUUUGUCCUUAAUGAAUUGUAAUACCAUACCGUAGGGUAGAAGAUGUUCGGAGUGUAAAAGAAUGGUUGGAGAGAUGGCUGAAGGUUGCUACUACGCCAUGGGGUGGAAUCCUGUGGAAGUAUGCUCUGCAUGCGGUGUUUUGGACUGUACGAAAGACCAGGAAUGAUACAUUCUUUGGGGAGAAGAUCAUCUCGCCAGAGAAAGCAUGUGUAGCAGUUAAGCAGUGAUGGGAAUUAUAGAGUAUUGGGCAAAGGGGAGUGCUCAAAGCAAAGGACAUAGAUUCCAAGUGAUCUAUGUCAACUGGCCGGUUGUAGUGACUGACGGGGGUUUGGGGUACCUAAUGUGGUUGGGUUGAACAUUUUAAUGUACAAGGGACAGUUCUGAUGUAUAAUCACAUAUAGCUUUAUUUAUUCUUUCAGAAUAAUUGAAAUUUUUUAUCGACUCCAAAAAAUAAAAGUUUGAAAAUUUAUGAUGAUCAAAACAAAAUUGUGGAUUUUUCUAUGACAUCCUUUGACAAGCUGAUAACUGAUAAAUAUCCUAGAACAAGUGGUUAUUUAUGAUGGUCGAGGAUUUCCAUGACGAUCGAGCAUGUCUUAUUUAUUUGGCGUGUGUUGUGUCUGUGGACUGUGCAUGCUCCUUUUGUACUGCACUCUUUAAUCGAUUUUUGUAAAUUAUAUUGAUCUGUUGUUACCAUAUUAUCUAACAGAUUAUAUAUGGAGACCGACCGAACUACUGAGAGGUAUUCCCAAUCCCAUUCCCAUAGUGGGAAUAAUGGGCUCUCAGUUGCAGCCACCAUUGGGAUUGCAGCAGGAGCAGUUGCAGUGUGCAUCAUCGUGAUCCUGAUCAUCUGGUGGCUGCGGAGAGGUGAUCAGGUACCUGUGGAGGCGGUGGCGACGACGAUUCAAGUUUAUUUGGACGACGGGGGGCUUGCUACCAUUGAGGAGAUGUCAGGCGAGGGAUCGUCCCUGACCUACUCCUCGUGAGCUGAGCUGAGCUGAGCUGAGAGAGAGAGAGAGAGAGAGAGAGAGAGAGAGAGAGAGAGAGAGAGAGAGAGAGAGAGAGAGAGCUAUUUAUGAUGCAUGAUAAUCAACAAAUUCAUUAAUAAUCCAAUUAGACUGUCACUCGUAAUCAUUCCUGUGGAUACAAUUGUUGUCGUGUUGUCGUGUAUGUGUUUAUCUAGAAAUUUUUUGUUAAGUACUAAGUUUUACAUAUCUUCUACCUAUAGUGC
RNAcentral lists this long non-coding RNA (2700 nucleotides) under Aquilegia coerulea. Its description in RNAcentral is "long non-coding RNA (ACOE_LNC000172)". The record is from RNAcentral. Lineage: Eukaryota; Viridiplantae; Streptophyta; Magnoliopsida; Ranunculales; Ranunculaceae.